This 2922-nucleotide ribosomal RNA is filed under the name Pseudobdellovibrionaceae bacterium. RNAcentral describes it as "Bdellovibrionaceae bacterium (activated sludge metagenome) 23S ribosomal RNA". It matches the Rfam family "Bacterial large subunit ribosomal RNA". The record is from RNAcentral. Lineage: Bacteria; Pseudomonadati; Bdellovibrionota; Bdellovibrionia; Bdellovibrionales; Pseudobdellovibrionaceae.
UUUUAAGCUACUAAGAGCAUACGGUGAAUGCCUUGGCACUGAGAGGCGAUGAAGGACGUGGUAAGCUGCGAUAAGCUUCGGGGAGUGGCACACACACUUUGAUCCGGAGAUUUCCGAAUUGGGAAACCACCCGCAAGGGAUCUGUUCAUGAAUUCAUAGUGAACAGAGGCUAACGAAGGGAACUGAAACAUCUAAGUACCUUCAGGAAAAGAAAUCUAUGAGAUUCCCCCAGUAGUGGCGAGCGAACGGGGAACAGGCUAAACCUAGAUCAUUAAUUUGAUCCAGGGGUCGUGGGACUCUAAUGUGAGACUUAAGUUGUUAGGAGAAGGCUCUGGAAAGGGCCGCUAAAGAGGGUGAUAGCCCCGUAACCGAAAACAACAAGAGCUCUAGGAGUAUCCCGAGUACCAUAGGACACGUGUAAUCCUAUGGGAAUCAGGGGGGACCACCCUCCAAGCCUAAAUACUACUCAGUGACCGAUAGUGGACAAGUACAGUGAUGGAAAGGUGAAAAGAACCCCGAGAGGGGAGUGAAAUAGAAACUGAAACCGUAUGUUUACAAGCAGUCGAAGCACUUUAUAUGUGCGACGGCGUACCUCUUGCAUAAUGAGUCAGCGAGUGAUCUUUGCAGGCAAGCUUAAGCCGUUACAGGUGGAGGCGCAGCGAAAGCGAGUCUGAAUAGGGCGUUUAGUCUGCAGGGAUCGACCCGAAACCCAGUGAUCUAUCCAUGACCAGGCUGAAGCGAGGGUAACACCUCGUGGAGGGCCGAACUAGUUGGUGUUGAAAAACCUUUGGAUGAGUUGUGGAUAGGGGUGAAAGGCCAAUCAAACUGGGUGAUAGCUGGUUCUCCCCGAAAUAUAUUUAGGUAUAGCUUUCGGUAAAUUGUAUCACGGAGGUAGAGCACUGAAUGGGCUAGGGGUCCUUACCGGAUUACCAAACCCAAAUAAACUCCGAAUGCCGUUGAUAUCUACCCGAGAAGGCAGACGUGGGGUGAUAAGGUCACACGUCGAGAGGGAAAGAGCCCAGACCAACAGCUAAGGUCCCUAAAUCAUCGCUCAGUGGUAAACGUUGUGGGGUUACUUUGACAACUAGGAGGUUGGCUUAGAAGCAGCAAUCCUUUAAAGAAAGCGUAAUAGCUCACUAGUCUAGUGACCCUGCGCGGAAGAUACAACGGGGCUAAGCGAUGUACCGAAGCUUUGGCUUGUCGUAAGACAGGGGUAGGGGAGCGUUGAAGUGUAGGCUGAAGGUUGACCGUAAGGACAGCUGGACGAACUUCAAGUGAUCAUGCUGACAUAAGUAGCGUUGAACUCGGGUGAAAAACCCGGGCGCCGAAAACUCAAGGAUUCCUGGGCAAGGAUAAUCCUCCCAGGGUUAGUCGGGACCUAAGGCGAGGCCAAUUGGCGUAGUCGAUGGCAAAACGGUUAAUAUUCCGUUACCCGAUCUAGAAUCGUCUCCGGAGGGACAGAAUAGGUAAUUACAGCCUCUUAUUGGAUUGAGGUGUAAGUGUGUAGGUGGUGUCGUAGGCAAAUCCGCGGCACAUAACACUGAGGCACGAAUGCGAGGGGCUUGCCCCGGAAGUGUAACAAGCCAUGUUCUCAAGAAAAUCUUCGGAGAUUAGCUAGACGGCCCGUACCGUAAACCGACUCAGGUGAGUGGGGUGAAUAUCCUAAGGCGAUUGGGUGAAUCUUGGUUAAGGAACUCGGCAACUUAACACCGUAACUUCGGGAAAAGGUGUGCCCUCGAGAGUGUAAGGACUUGCUCCCCAAGCUUUUGAGGGUCGCAGAGAAAUGGGAGUAGCGACUGUUUAUCAAAAACACAGGCAUGUGCAAAGUCACAAGACGACGUAUACGUGCUGACGCCUGCCCGGUGCUGGAAGGUUAAGAGGAUUUGUCAGCGCAAGCGAAGCAGAGAAUCGAAGCCCCAGUAAACGGCGGCCGUAACUAUAACGGUCCUAAGGUAGCGAAAUUCCUUGUCGGGUAAGUUCCGACCUGCACGAAUGGCGUAACGACUUCUCCGGUGUCUCAACCAAGGGCCCAGCGAAAUUGAAUUCUCGGUGAAAAUGCCGAGUACCCGCAGAAAGACGGAAAGACCCCGUGAACCUUUACUGUAGUUUGGCAGUGAUUUUAGAGUUUUCAUGUGUAGGAUAGGUGGGAGCCUGUGAGACCGGGUCGCUAGAUCCGGUGGAGGCAACGUUGAAAUACCACCCUUGGGAACUUUGAAAUCUAACCUGCGGCCAUCACUGGCCGAGGGACACUGUCUGAUGGGCAGUUUGACUGGGGCGGUCGCCUCCCAAAGAGUAACGGAGGCGCGCGAUGGUACCCUCAGCCUGAUUGGAAACCAGGCGUCGAGUGCAUUGGCAUAAGGGUGCUUGACUGCGAGACCUACAAGUCGAGCAGGUGCGAAAGCAGGCCAAAGUGAUCCGGUGGUCCCGUGUGGAAGGGCCAUCGCUCAACGGAUAAAAGGUACUCCGGGGAUAACAGGCUUAUUCCGCCCAAGAGUCCAUAUCGACGGCGGAGUUUGGCACCUCGAUGUCGGCUCAUCACAUCCUGGGGCUGGAGCAGGUCCCAAGGGUUUAGCUGUUCGCUAAUUAAAGUGGUACGCGAGCUGGGUUCAGAACGUCGUGAGACAGUUUGGUCCUUAUCUUCUGUGGGCGUAGGAAAUUUGAGCAGAUCUGUCCUUAGUACGAGAGGACCGGGAUGGACGAACCUCUGGUGUUCCUGUUGUCGCGCCAGCGGCAACGCAGGGUAGCUAUGUUCGGAAUGGAUAACCGCUGAAAGCAUCUAAGCGGGAAGCCAACUGCGAGAUAAGAUUUCCCGGACUUCGGUCCCUAAAGGCUCCUCGGAGACUACGAGGUUGAUAGGCUGUGGGUGUAAGUCUGGUAACAGAUUCAGCUGAACAGUACUAAUAGGCCGUGCGGCUUUUUAUA